Molecule: non-coding RNA, 431 nt
Organism: Equus caballus (horse)
Lineage: Eukaryota; Metazoa; Chordata; Mammalia; Perissodactyla; Equidae
Source: the annotation of a RefSeq genome assembly
AGCUCUCUCCAGCAAGGAGAUAAGAGAGGCCUAGGAGGAAACCUGCCCAGCCUUAGGCCUCAGGGAGCAGAAUUGGGGGCACCUCCAUCAUGGCCAGGAUCCCUCUCCUCCUCGGCCUCCUCAUUCACUGCACAGGCUCUGUGGGCUCUUAUGAGCUGACUCAGCUGUCCUCCAUGUCAGUGGCCAUGGGACAGACACCCUGUAUCACCUAUGGGGGAAACAACAUUGGAAGGAAAAGUGCUUACUGGUACCAGCAGAAGCCAGAGUUGGUCAUCUAUAGUGAUAGCAGCCGACCCUCUGGGAUCCCUGACCGAUUUUACGGCUCCAACUCAGGGAACACAGCCACCCUGACCAUCAGCAGGGCCCAGGCCAAGGACAAAGCUGACUAUUACUGUACUGUAUGUGAUGGCAGCAGGAGCAUCAGUCAGUGA